CCCAUUAAGUAGAAGAACCACCAUGCUGCUUAAAUUUGUCAAAUUUGGAGGAAAAUCCAAAAUUACUAUUGCUAACUUUCCUAAAUCUUUUAGAGAAUUAUAAUUCCAACUCCUAAAUCAUGUGAAUGGUUAUAGAUGCACUAAUAGGCUUUUAGUCAAUCCUUAUAGUAAUGACUAACAACCUCUAAAUUAUUAAACUAACUAAGUUGCUAUUCUAAUUUUCUAAUUCUUAUCACUUUAGUCCUAAUUAACCUAAUUCAAGGAAUUAAGCUAUGUUUUAUACCAUCAAGGGUUGUAAUCCUAAAAAUUCUAUAAAACUAAAUUCUACUUAUAUAAAUCCUAAUUUAACAUGUUUAAUUAUCAUAAAAUAGGAAAAUAAUAAAAAUUUAAAUUUUAGAGUAUAAUUGAGAGCUCACUCAUAUACAAAAUGAAGUAUCCAUUUAUAAUAGAAAAUA
Molecule: long non-coding RNA, 455 nt
Filed under: Physcomitrium patens
Lineage: Eukaryota; Viridiplantae; Streptophyta; Bryopsida; Funariales; Funariaceae
Description: long non-coding RNA (PPAT_LNC005335)
Source: RNAcentral